AAAUUCUUGGACAUAUUUUUAACCAUACCAAGACUCUGAUUAUAAAGUGCUGGAAAACAUGGAGUAUAGGGUUUCCUGGAGUUUGUUAUUCAUUGUUUGUUUCCAUGGAGUUUGGAGUGAGAUCAAACUGGAGCAGUCUACUUCUGAGGUGAAGAGACCUGGAGAGAGAGUGAAGAUGUCAUGCAUCAUAUCUGGCUAUACCCUGAGAGACUACUAUAUCAGCUGGAUACGACAGAGGCCGGGGAGAACUCUGGAGUGGAUUGGAAGGAUGGACACAGGCUCAAACUCUGCUCACUAUGCCAGUACUUUCCGAAGCCGUUUUAUCAUUACUGAAGAAAACUCCGGCAGCAGACAGUACCUUGAGAUCAGGAGUCUGACAGCAGAAGAUUCUGCCGUUUACUUCUGUGCCCGACAAAGCACAGUGACAGAAAACAGAGGAAGAGCUGUACAAAAACCCCAACUACUAAAGGGAUCUCACUGACUUAUGGUUUUUCUCUUCACCUGAAAAGUGACCUUGUUGUAUACAAGUCACAGAAAUUUUACUGUAAAACAGAUGAGAAAAUAUCUAUUACUCAUCAUUUCAAUAUUAUAUAAUGAUGCUAAAUUAACACUGUAAAAAGCACACUUGAAUAUAGUCUGGGAAGAUUAGCAAUUUACUCUAUACUCCAUAUUUUCCAUAUUGAAUUUUGAAUAUGUGAGAUUCACAUACAGUGAAUCACUAGAUACACUGGAUCAGACAGGAUCUUGGAAAAGCGGUGGAAGGGAUUCUGACUACAUUACUAUCACAUAAUGUACUAGCACAUAAUAUACUAUGACAAAUCAGGACAGGAAUGGAGAUCCACAGUGGCUGUUGAGUUGUUUGAGUUGAUCUACAAACUCAACUACAAACUAUGCUACAGUAAAAAUUAUACUACCCCAAAAUACCUACUUCCAUCUGAUUUUGUCACAAAAACUGAAGUGGACUCAAGAGCACAACUCAGAAGAAUAAAGGCCCUGUGUGUUUAAAGUGAUCACCAGCUAUGUGCUACAUGCAAAGUGCAGGCGGGGAUUGGCUCCAGGGGUCAGCGAGAACAGGCAUCCAAAACCACACUCCAGUAAGGGAUUCCAGGGAAGGUCUGUACGAAAGGAAACAGUGAGCACAGUGAGCAAAAACACAAGCAAAGGAGCCAGCAGCCAUAUUUCUGGGGCUUAGACAGAUCUGAAAGAUUGAAACUAUCCGGUGAGUGAUAGGUCUCUAGGUGAAAAUGCCUUGUUGAUGCUGGAUGUUAGAGCCCAUCACCAAAUGGAGCUGAUAGAAGUGCAACAUAGUUUGGUUGUAAUCACUCAUCACAGCACCUCUGAUGGCACAAGAUAUCAGCCUGUAAGCAGAUGGGUAAUAGUAGAAGACCACACCAAGUGCCAUUCCAGCUAAAAACAAGAAGCUAAGGCUACACACAGGACACAGGCUCACCAAACUGGACAACAGUUCAAAUCAAUGAAAUGUUAUUUAUUUACUUUAUAUAAUCCGUUUAUGAAUCAGUGGUUAUAAGACCUGGAGGACUGCAUGCAUUGAACUGUACAGCUUUGAAUUCACCAUCAGUUGCUUCCUACAGUAACUCA
This is a non-coding RNA of Oreochromis niloticus (Nile tilapia), 1599 nucleotides long. NCBI's taxonomy places the organism in Eukaryota, Metazoa, Chordata, Actinopteri, Cichliformes, Cichlidae. The record is from the annotation of a RefSeq genome assembly.